Molecule: RNA transcript, 1262 nt
Organism: Coregonus clupeaformis (lake whitefish)
Lineage: Eukaryota; Metazoa; Chordata; Actinopteri; Salmoniformes; Salmonidae
Gene name: E3 SUMO-protein ligase ZBED1-like
Exons: 3
Source: RefSeq, a predicted model, not a curated record
AUUGUUGGAUAUUUUCACCGCAGCCCGAUUGCAUGUCACGCCCUACAGGAAAAACAAACUCUGAUGGAUUUACCAAAACAUAAACUGAUCCAAGACAUAAUCACCAGAUGGAACAGUUCAUUCGAAAUGCUUGAAUGUUUUUUGGAACAACAGCCAGCUAUAAUGGCAACUCUGAUGUCCAAGGAUCUACGAAAGGGGGUCACAGAUGUAGGCACGCUGAGUGAGAGUGAUAUUGCCAACAUGGAUGACAUUGUUCAGUUGAUGGGUCCUGUCAAAAUGGCAACCACUGUGAUGUGUGAAGAAGACCAGCCAACUCUCUCUGUAAUUGCUCCUCUUCAAGCAAAACUGCUGAAACACCUACAGCCAUGCGAAGACGACUCAACCCUGGUUGCAGAGAUUAAGAGGGUGAUGGCCAGUGACCUCUCCACACGCUACAGAGGCACCCAAGAUGCUCUCAACAUAGGUAAUUAAUUUGGAGUCUUAAUUAAAAUCAACUUGGUUAAUAUUUUAGGUUAUUAGACUGUAUUAAUUUGUAAAAUGCCACACCUUUGCGUUUUCAAGUUUGAAUUUGAGUUGUUUUUUCAUAUGGAAAAGUAAACAAGAUAUCUGCAAUACAAUUCUUAGUUCAUGGUGGCUUUACAUCAUCACUGUGCCACAUUUCUUUUAAACAUACUAAAGUUUAAUCUUCUGAUUAUUUUGUGUAUGAGGAGGUGGUCAUCACUUGCAAUUUCAGGUCAACUUAAUUUAAUAAUGCAAUGAAUGCAAUAUUCUUGUUCUUUAAACAGCAUCAGCGUUGGACCCGCGAUUUAAAGAACUGCCCUACCUGGAAAAAGAGGACAGAGAACAGGUCUACACAAAACUGGUUUUUGAGGCAGAAGUGUCCCACCAGAUGCAAGCAAUGGGAAAUCAGGAGGAAGACGAGGGAAGCUCAAGCACAAAGCUGUCAGGAUUCAAUGAAGAGACCACAGCUCCAAAUGAGUCACCUCCUUGUAAGAAGAAAGCCUUAGAUGCGCUGUUUGGCGAUUCCUUCACCCAAAGAGAAAGAAAAUCCACAAGCGAGACAGCCAGAGCAGAGGUGUUAAGGUACCGAGCAAAGGAUGCGUUGCCUUUGACUGAAAAUGCCAUGAAGUGGUGGAGAUCUCAGGAGAAAGAGCUACCUGUACUUUCCACCCUUGCUAAACGGUACCUGUGCAUUCCAGGCACCAGUGUGCCAGCAGAACGAGUUUUUAGUACUGCUGGCGACAUAGUGAACACACAGAGAA